Mauremys reevesii (Reeves's turtle) is the source of this 1672-nucleotide long non-coding RNA. RefSeq lists it as uncharacterized. The transcript is spliced from 4 exons. The record is from RefSeq and is a predicted model, not a curated record. NCBI's taxonomy places the organism in Eukaryota, Metazoa, Chordata, Testudines, Geoemydidae.
CUGGAGGAUUGAGGAAACACCAUACAAUCAAGCAGUAUCAGACACCAGGAGGAUCCUAUGACCCAAAUAUUGCAGUAUUUUGCUAGUGCAAAAGAGCCAGAAAGUGAAUCUUUGAACCAACCCUGAUGCUGGCCAGUCAUAUUUCAUCAUCCAUGCUGGGAUCAAGACAAAAAUAAACAGCAUCAAUGCAGCCAAAUCCUGCAGUUCCCGAGUCAGCCAAAGCUUCCACUAAAUUCAGCAAGUUUUGACGGAGCAAAGACUGCUGGAUCUUCCCUAAAACUUCUGUGUCUUGUGCAAUAGUGGUGCAAGUUCUGGCCCUAAAUGACAAGCAUCACAUUACCAAAAUGAAUUCUCACUGACUGGUCAUACAUUACUCCUGGGGGAAUUGUGUGCUACUGUGCACAUGCAGAAUUCAUGUCCCCCACAGAUUUUUUUGCUUCCCCACGGGGAAAAAAAAGACUUUCUGAAGGGGAAGCAAAGGGAAGCCUCAAAAGCAGUCAUGCACCCCUCCCAAGCAGUGCUGGCACAUUGAUUCAGGCAUCCGGAGCAGCCAGCUGAGAGGUAAAUCACUGCAGGGAGGAGGUUGCGGGACUGGGGAUGUCCCAGCCAGUGGCUCCUAUCCUGAGCUGGACUCAGCUUCUCUUCCUCUGCAAGGAACAUCCCAGGCUGGGUCAGACCCACCUCUAUAAAUCCCCAGCUGCAGGGAGCUCCGCAUCCCCUUCCCCCAUUGCUCCUCAGCCACAGGGGGAGGGGUCACUGCAUGAGGAACUGCUCCCUCAUCUGCCCAACUCCCAUGUAUCUGGACCUUCCCAUACCCACACUACCCCACCGAGCCUCACCCCCCCCAUCUAGAACCCCUACCCAACCAAGCCUCACCCCCUGCAUCUGGAACCCCUGCACCCGGAUCACACCUGUGCCCCCCCCCCCCCCGGACCAAGCCCAACACCUUCUGCAUUCAGAUCCCCACCAAGCCCCUCCCCCCUGCACCUAGACCACCCUCCACUGAGCCCCACCCCACUGAGCAAAAUAUUGCGUGCAGAAUUUUUAAUAUUUUUAUGCCCAAAUUCCUCAUGAGUAGUACAUUAAGAGCAUAACACUUUUGCCUAACAACUUCUCAGCAUCAACGUUCACACUUUAACCAUUUUGUGAAUAUCCUAUACAGCACAAAAAUGAACAGGGAAAACCAGAUGCAUAGUUUGAUUAUAUCCACUUCAAAAUAGACAAGCAUCUUUUCUGUCAGAACAGCAGCAGCAAAAGACAAACAGCAGAAAUUAUUCGGAGGAAAAGGAAAUUUCAAAAGAAAGUCUAUGUAAUUCUUAUGUGUCAAUGUACUGACAACUUUCACAGGCGGACAUCUACAGUAUAUUCAAAUCUAGCUUAGUCACAAACAAAGUGAUUUUCUUGGUUUCUCUGUAUCUCAUAGAGUAAGUCUUUCUAUAUGAUAAAAUGACCUCACAAUUCAAUAUAAUUGAUACACUUAGGCUCAGGACUGGAUAAUCAUGAUUGGUACACCGGAAGAGCUGUAUGAAGAAUUUUAUAGAAUAUCUCAGUAUGCCACGCUGGAGUCUGUAGUAUUGAUCCCAUGCUUCAUUGUAUGCCUGAUCCUACUGUCCCUGUGCACACAAAGCUGCCAUUGUGCUUAGUGGAAUUAUGUAUACGUAAAGAUAGAAAG